GUUGUAUGGUUAAGUGACUAAGCGUACACGGUGGAUGCCUUGGCAGUCAGAGGCGAUGAAAGACGUAGUAACUUGCGAUAAGCCCAGAUUAGGUAGUAACAACCAUUUGAGUCUGGGAUUUCUGAAUGGGGAAACCCACUUACAUAAGUAAGUAUCAUUAACUGAAUACAUAGGUUAAUGAGGCGAACCGGGGGAACUGAAACAUCUAAGUACCCCGAGGAAAAGAAAUCAACCGAGAUUCCGAAAGUAGCGGCGAGCGAAAUUGGACUAGCCCUUAAGCUUUACACGCGUUAGACGAACGGUCUGGAAAGUCCGACGAUACAGGGUGAUAGUCCCGUAGUUGACGACGUGUGUUCAGUGAAAUCGAGUAGGGCGGGACACGUGAUAUCCUGUCUGAAUAUGGGGGACCAUCCUCCAAGGCUAAAUACUACUGACUGACCGAUAGUGAACCAGUACCGUGAGGGAAAGGCGAAAAGAACCCCUGUGAGGGGAGUGAAAUAGAACCUGAAACCGUGUACGUACAAGCAGUAGGAGCAGGCUUUGUCCUGUGACUGCGUACCUUUUGUAUAAUGGGUCAGCGACUUAUAUUCAGUGGCAAGGUUAACCAUCUAGGGGAGCCGUAGGGAAACCGAGUCUUAACUGGGCGUUCAGUCUCUGGAUAUAGACCCGAAACCAGGUGAUCUAGCCAUGGGCAGGUUGAAGGUUGAGUAACAUCAACUGGAGGACCGAACCGACUAAUGUUGAAAAAUUAGCGGAUGACUUGUGGCUAGGGGUGAAAGGCCAAUCAAACCUGGAGAUAGCUGGUUCUCCCCGAAAGCUAUUUAGGUAGCGCCUCGGACGAAUACUACUGGGGGUAGAGCACUGUUAAGGCUAGGGGGUCAUCCCGACUUACCAACCCUUUGCAAACUCCGAAUACCAGUAAGUACUAUCCGGGAGACACACGGCGGGUGCUAACGUCCGUCGUGGAGAGGGAAACAACCCAGACCGCCAGCUAAGGUCCCAAAUUACUACUAAGUGGGAAACGAUGUGGGAAGGCUCAGACAGCCAGGAUGUUGGCUUAGAAGCAGCCAUCAUUUAAAGAAAGCGUAAUAGCUCACUGGUCGAGUCGGCCUGCGCGGAAGAUGUAACGGGGCUAAGUAGUAAACCGAAGCUGCGGCAAUGUGCUUUUGCACAUUGGGUAGGGGAGCGUUCUGUAAGCGGUUGAAGGUGUGUGGUAACGCAUGCUGGACGUAUCAGAAGUGCGAAUGCUGACAUGAGUAACGAUAAAGGGGGUGAAAAACCUCCUCGCCGGAAGACCAAGGGUUCCUGUCCAACGUUAAUCGGGGCAGGGUAAGUCGACCCCUAAGGCGAGGCCGAAAGGCGUAGUCGAUGGGAAACGGGUUAAUAUUCCCGUACUUCUUACAAUUGCGAUGGGGGGACGGAGAAGGCUAGGUGGGCCUGGCGACGGUUGUCCAGGUUCAAGUGCGUAGGCUUAAGAGUUAGGUAAAUCCGGCUCUUUUUAAGGCUGAGACACGACGUCGAGCACCUACGGGUGUGAAGUCAUUGAUGCCAUGCUUCCAGGAAAAGCCUCUAAGCUUCAGAUUGUAAGGAAUCGUACCCCAAACCGACACAGGUGGUCGGGUAGAGAAUACCAAGGCGCUUGAGAGAACUCGGGUGAAGGAACUAGGCAAAAUGGUACCGUAACUUCGGGAGAAGGUACGCUCUCGACGGUGAAGUCCCUCGCGGAUGGAGCUAUUGAGAGUCGCAGAUACCAGGUGGCUGCAACUGUUUAUUAAAAACACAGCACUGUGCAAAAUCGUAAGAUGACGUAUACGGUGUGACGCCUGCCCGGUGCCGGAAGGUUAAUUGAUGGGGUUAGACUUCGGUCGAAGCUCUUGAUCGAAGCCCCGGUAAACGGCGGCCGUAACUAUAACGGUCCUAAGGUAGCGAAAUUCCUUGUCGGGUAAGUUCCGACCUGCACGAAUGGCGUAAUGAUGGCCACGCUGUCUCCACCCGAGACUCAGUGAAAUUGAAAUCGCUGUGAAGAUGCAGUGUACCCGCGGCUAGACGGAAAGACCCCGUGAACCUUUACUACAGCUUGGCACUGAACAUUGACCCUACAUGUGUAGGAUAGGUGGGAGGCUUUGAAGCACGUACGCCAGUAUGUGUGGAGCCGUCCUUGAAAUACCACCCUUGUAGUGUUGAUGUUCUAACGUCGACCCCUAAUCGGGGUUGCGGACAGUGCCUGGUGGGUAGUUUGACUGGGGCGGUCUCCUCCCAAAGAGUAACGGAGGAGCACGAAGGUGGGCUAAUCACGGUUGGACAUCGUGAGGUUAGUGCAAUGGCAUAAGCCCGCUUGACUGCGAGAAUGACAAUUCGAGCAGGUGCGAAAGCAGGUCAUAGUGAUCCGGUGGUUCUGAAUGGAAGGGCCAUCGCUCAACGGAUAAAAGGUACUCCGGGGAUAACAGGCUGAUACCGCCCAAGAGUUCAUAUCGACGGCGGUGUUUGGCACCUCGAUGUCGGCUCAUCACAUCCUGGGGCUGAAGUCGGUCCCAAGGGUAUGGCUGUUCGCCAUUUAAAGUGGUACGCGAGCUGGGUUUAGAACGUCGUGAGACAGUUCGGUCCCUAUCUGCCGUGGGCGUUGGAAGAUUGAAGGGGGCUGCUCCUAGUACGAGAGGACCGGAGUGGACGAACCUCUGGUGUUCGGGUUGUGUCGCCAGACGCAUUGCCCGGUAGCUAAGUUCGGAAUCGAUAACCGCUGAAAGCAUCUAAGCGGGAAGCGAGCCCUGAGAUGAGUCUUCCCUGAUACUUUAAGUAUCCUAAAGGGUUGUCGGAGACUACGACGUUGAUAGGUCAGGUGUGUAAGUGCUGUGAGGCAUUGAGCUAACUGAUACUAAUUGCCCGUGAGGCUUAACCAUACAACACCCAAGGGGUUU
This 2915-nucleotide ribosomal RNA is filed under the name Vibrio parahaemolyticus. Its description in RNAcentral is "23S ribosomal RNA". It matches the Rfam family "Bacterial large subunit ribosomal RNA". The record is from RNAcentral. Lineage: Bacteria; Pseudomonadati; Pseudomonadota; Gammaproteobacteria; Vibrionales; Vibrionaceae.